GUGUUUUUUAGGUGAGAAGAGGUUUUGACAGGAAACCUUUUUUAAUGUGUUACGUAUGUGAAAGAAAGUGAAGCCACGGUUAGUUUUGGUCACAUCAUUAUUAUGAGUAUUAUAACUUCGUUGUCCCCUCAUCCUCGUUCCCCGGAGGAGACUCCACGGUGGCGCUGUUGAAGGUGGGGAGGUGGUGCACGUCAGCCUCUUGUGGAGGAACACCAGUAAACCAUGAGGAUGCACUCACACUCUGGACCAACAGAACCCGGAUCACAGAACCCGGAUUACAGAACCCGGAUCACAGCUCUGGUCUCCAGGUGUAUCACCCAAACAAAAACGUGAAGGAUCAACAGAUAAUCCCACUGGGAGACCCGCUGCCUCACAGACCAGUCAGGCAAUCAGAGUCCAGGAGGACCAGGACUGGUGGGACCAGAUCUGGACCGCAUUCAUAAAUACAUAAACGUCAAGGGAUGUGAAGACUCUUCACUUGUAACUUUUCUUUUCGCUAUAUUUUAUAUUUACUGAAUCACAAACCAAUCAUGUUGUAUAUUUAAUAUUUAUGA
Long non-coding RNA from Pseudoliparis swirei, 554 nucleotides. RefSeq lists it as uncharacterized. The transcript has 3 exons. The record is from RefSeq and is a predicted model, not a curated record. NCBI's taxonomy places the organism in Eukaryota, Metazoa, Chordata, Actinopteri, Perciformes, Liparidae.